Molecule: ribosomal RNA, 253 nt
Filed under: uncultured bacterium
Lineage: Bacteria
Description: partial 16S ribosomal RNA
Rfam family: Bacterial small subunit ribosomal RNA
Source: RNAcentral
UACGUAGGGGGCUAGCGUUGUCCGGAUUUAUUGGGCGUAAAGAGCGUGUAGGCGGCCAGGUAGGUCUGCUGUGAAAACUCGAGGCUCAACCUCGAGACGUCGGCGGAAACCAUCUGGCUAGAGUCCGGAAGAGGAGAGUGGAAUUCCUGGUGUAGCGGUGAAAUGCGCAGAUAUCAGGAAGAACGCCCGUGGCGAAGGCGGCUCUCUGGGGCGGUACUGACGCUGAGACGCGAAAGCGUGGGGAGCGAACAGG